AGCCCUAAGCGGGUGGUAAACUCCAUCUAAGGCUAAAUAUGACCACGAGACCGAUAGCGAACAAGUACCGUGAGGGAAAGUUGAAAAGCACUUUGAAGAGAGAGUUCAAGAGUACGUGAAACCGUUUAGGGGUAAACCUGAGAAACCCGAAAGGUCGAAGGGAGAAAUUCAUUCGCGUUUCGCCGUCGGCGUGAGACGGUCGAGUGACGAAAAACGUUCGCGCGUUUUUCGCGCCUUCCGUUUUUCGAUCCGAUAGCGAACGCGUGCACUUUUCUCCCGGUAGGACGUCGCGAUCCGUUGGGUGUCGGUCUACGGCUCGCGGUGGAGCCCGAAUGUGUUCUUCGCGAACACGUUCGGACCCGCGUGUCCCGGCCGACCCGCUCGACGGUAUACGAAAGGUUUAAGGCCGCUCUCGGAGCGUUCGACUCGUCGCAAGCGCGUCAGAUGUUCGUCGGUAAUCGGACCCGGUGCCGGUUCUGACCUCUGGCGACUGUUGGCGACGAAGUUCUCGAACAGACCUUUUAAAACCGAUCUGCGACGCUAUAGCUUUGGGUACUUUCAG
RNAcentral lists this ribosomal RNA (562 nucleotides) under Holonychus sp. CNC COL VG00010666. Its description in RNAcentral is "partial 28S ribosomal RNA". It matches the Rfam family "Eukaryotic large subunit ribosomal RNA", at positions 284 to 645 of the family's 3401-position model. Lineage: Eukaryota; Metazoa; Arthropoda; Insecta; Coleoptera; Curculionidae. RNAcentral also lists the same sequence under 1 other name. The record is from RNAcentral.